CUAGCUGUCUUUCACCGGCUUGCGGGCGCACGAUGAGCCGUUUCAGAUGAAGAGCAGAACGGAUUAAGGAAGCCUUCGGCUGAGAGCUACCCGGAGCUGGGCUGUUAUCUGUUGGACAGGAUGGACAUCACCAUGGCAUGUCAAGGAUAUAGUGAAUCACUUCUGUCAUGUUGCAGAGAAGUGAUAACUCAUCUGAGGUCAAAGGACCUAUGGACCUCCAUCAUGUUGCCAUGAUGCAUGAUUGUCUUGCAAUCAGUUGGACAAAGACCUGGACUGUGAGAGGGACCAGGACUCACUACACCCUCACUAACACUGUGACAAACAGAUGGGGGGCUAAAGAUUUCUCAGUACCUGAAUGUCAGGCUGGACAUCACCAUGGCAUGCCAAGGACGUAGUGAACCACUUUUGUCAUGUUGCAGAGAAGACCUUUGGACCUACAUCAUGCUGCAGACAAGUAUGAUUGUCUUGCAGUCAUCGGGACUAAAGACUCAGACAGAGAGGGACCAGGACUCACGACACCCUCACUAACACUGUGACCAACAAACAGGGGCAAAAAUGUCCCUAAGUACCUGAACUUGGGGGUUGACAUCACAAUUGCAUGUGAAGGACCUACAGCAGUGAACCACUUAUGUCAUUUUGCAGAGACGUGAUGUUCUAUCUCGUUCCAAGAGUUAAGACCAGUGACCCAGAGAGGGAGAAAGCCCUUUUAAACCUUUUAAACCCAACUCCACUCCUAAUGCUCCUGAUUCAUUGUGCCUUAUUGCCGAUAUCCUCAACCAAUGAGUGCUUGUUACAGGCCAAAGUUAAUCUGUUCAUUAUCUGUGAGGUCACUUUAAUUUAUUCUCUAGUCCUUGUGGCUUUUCUUCUAUAAGAAACUUGAGUCAGGUUGUCAGAAAAAUAAAUUCUUUGGCAAUUAUGCUAUGAGGCUAAUGAUAUUAGAAUGGGUUACCACCACACAGUAAUGGUGGCUUUUCAACUUCUUAUUUCUUUUGUUCUGUGUUGAAGAUUUCA
This is a long non-coding RNA of Cheilinus undulatus (humphead wrasse), 1011 nucleotides long. RefSeq lists it as uncharacterized. The record is from RefSeq and is a predicted model, not a curated record. The transcript has 7 exons. NCBI's taxonomy places the organism in Eukaryota, Metazoa, Chordata, Actinopteri, Labriformes, Labridae.